AACGAACGCUGGCGGCAUGCCUAACACAUGCAAGUCGAACGAGACCUUCGGGUCUAGUGGCGCACGGGUGCGUAACACGUGGGAAUCUGCCCUUUGCUUCGGAAUAACAGUUAGAAAUGACUGCUAAUACCGGAUGAUGUCGAAAGACCAAAGAUUUAUCGGCAAAGGAUGAGCCCGCGUAGGAUUAGGUAGUUGGUGGGGUAAAGGCCUACCAAGCCGACGAUCCUUAGCUGGUCUGAGAGGAUGAUCAGCCACACUGGGAGUGAGACACGGCCCAGACUCCUGCGGGAAGCAGCAGUGGGGAAUAUUGGACAGUGGGCGAAGGGCUGAUCCAGCAAGGCCGCGUGAGUGAUGAAGGCCUUAGGGUAGUAAAGCACUUUUACCAGGGAUGAUAAUGACAGUACCUGGAGAAUAAGCACCGGCUAACUCCGUG
This 433-nucleotide ribosomal RNA is filed under the name uncultured bacterium. RNAcentral's name for it is "partial 16S ribosomal RNA". It matches the Rfam family "Bacterial small subunit ribosomal RNA", at positions 29 to 507 of the family's 1533-position model. The record is from RNAcentral.